This 31-nucleotide non-coding RNA is filed under the name Homo sapiens (human). The record is from RNAcentral. Lineage: Eukaryota; Metazoa; Chordata; Mammalia; Primates; Hominidae.
GCGACGGUCACAAAUGUGGGGCUUUACAGUA